AAAAAGGCUGUGAAUAGACAAGUAAUUGUUAUGAUGUAUGACUAGAGAGUCCUGAUGGUGGAAAUGGAUGAUAAUAUUAACAAUGAAUAAAGACUAGGAGCUGUAUUUUGGAUCAAAGGUGAUAAAAUAACGUGUGCCGCGUUACAGGCUAGACUCUGAUAGGAGUUGAAAAGAUUACUAUAGUGAUAUAGUAAUGAAUUAGGGUGGUAACACGAUAUCUCUCGUCCCUUGU
Non-coding RNA from Candidatus Stoquefichus sp. KLE1796, 232 nucleotides. The record is from Rfam. NCBI's taxonomy places the organism in Bacteria, Bacillati, Bacillota, Erysipelotrichia, Erysipelotrichales, Erysipelotrichaceae.